RNAcentral lists this ribosomal RNA (115 nucleotides) under Danio rerio (zebrafish). The record is from RNAcentral. Lineage: Eukaryota; Metazoa; Chordata; Actinopteri; Cypriniformes; Danionidae.
GUUGGCAGCUAGCUCUCUGCAGCUCUUACAAGAUCACCCACUGAAGCUAAGCAGUGCAGCGCCUGGUCAGUACCUGCAAGGGAGACUGCAUGGGAAAGCUAGGGAGCUGUGGUAU